RNAcentral lists this ribosomal RNA (464 nucleotides) under uncultured Porphyromonadaceae bacterium. Its description in RNAcentral is "bacterial SSU rRNA". It matches the Rfam family "Bacterial small subunit ribosomal RNA", at positions 336 to 797 of the family's 1533-position model. The record is from RNAcentral. Lineage: Bacteria; Pseudomonadati; Bacteroidota; Bacteroidia; Bacteroidales; Porphyromonadaceae.
CGCCUACGGGCGGCUGCAGUGAGGAAUAUUGGUCAAUGGAGGCAACUCUGAACCAGCCAAGUCGCGUGAAGGAUGAAGGUCUUAUGGAUUGUAAACUUCUUUUGCAAGGGAAUAAAGUGGGGGACGUGUCCUCCUUUGCAUGUACCUUGCGAAUAAGGAUCGGCUAACUCCGUGCCAGCAGCCGCGGUAAUACGGAGGAUCCGAGCGUUAUCCGGAUUUAUUGGGUUUAAAGGGUGCGCAGGCGGGAUGUUAAGUCGGCGGUGAAAUUUUGCAGCUCAACUGUAAAAGUGCCUUUGAUACUGGCUUUCUUGAGUGUGGAUGAAGUAGGCGGAAUUUGUGGUGUAGCGGUGAAAUGCUUAGAUAUCACGAGGAACUCCGAUUGCGCAGGCAGCUUACUAAACCACUACUGACGCUCAUGCACGAAGGCGUGGGGAUCAAACAGGAUUAGAUACCCUGGUAGUCUC